This 256-nucleotide ribosomal RNA is filed under the name uncultured bacterium. RNAcentral describes it as "partial 16S ribosomal RNA". It matches the Rfam family "Bacterial small subunit ribosomal RNA", at positions 524 to 776 of the family's 1533-position model. The record is from RNAcentral.
GACAGAGGCCCCAAGCGUUAGGCGGAAUCACUUGGGCUUAAAGCGUGUGUAGGCGGAUCGUUAAGUGUCUUGUGAAAUCCCACGGCUCACCCGUGGAACUGCUGGGCAUACUGGCGAUCUUGGGCCAACUAGGGGCAGCCGGAACAAGCGGUGGAGCGGUGAAAUGCGUAGAUAAUCGCUUGGAACGCCGAAGGUGAAAACAGGCUGCUGGGGUUGUGCCGACGCUGAGACACGAAAGCCAGGGGAGGCAAACGGG